RNAcentral lists this unclassified non-coding RNA (249 nucleotides) under uncultured fungus. Its description in RNAcentral is "sequence contains 5.8S rRNA gene". The stretch from base 1 to 53 matches the Rfam family "5.8S ribosomal RNA", at positions 102 to 154 of the family's 154-position model. The record is from RNAcentral. Lineage: Eukaryota; Fungi.
GAACGCACAUUGCGCCCUCUGGUAUUCCGGAGGGCAUGCCUGUCUGAGCGUCAAUAUAACAUCAAACACCAGUUUGGUCUUGGAAGAAGAGAUGGCAACGUCUCCCUUCUGUAAAUCAUUGAGCAGCAGUCCAAGCUAUGCGACGUAGUAAGCACAAAUCUCGUCGAACUGUAGCCUUGCGACUGUUUGCCAUAACCCAAAUAUAUCAUUGUUUGACCUCAGAUCAGGUAGGGAUACCCCCUGAACUUA